GAUGAAGAACGCAGCGAAAUGCGAUACGUAAUGUGAAUUGCAGAAUUCAGUGAAUCAUCGAAUCUUUGAACGCAUAUUGCGCUCUCUGGUAUUCCGGAGAGCAUGCUUGUUUGAGUAUCAGUAAACACCUCAACUCCCCUUUCUUUUUUUGAAAUGGGAGCUGGACUUGAGUGAUCCCAACGCUUUUCUCACCGAAAAGUGGCGGGUUACUUGAAAUGCAGGUGCAGCUGGACUUUUCUCUGAGCUAAAAGCAUAUCUAUUUAGUCUGCCUAAAAAACAGAUUAUUACCUUUGCUGCAGCUAACAUAAAGGAGAUUAGUUCUUGUGCUGACUGAUGCAGGAUUCACAAAGACAGCUUCGGCUGGCCUUUGUAAACUCGAUCUCAAAUCAAGUAAGACUACCCGCUGAACUUAAGCAUAUCAAUAAGCGGAGGA
RNAcentral lists this unclassified non-coding RNA (433 nucleotides) under soil metagenome. RNAcentral's name for it is "partial contains 5.8S ribosomal RNA, internal transcribed spacer 2, and large subunit ribosomal RNA". The stretch from base 1 to 120 matches the Rfam family "5.8S ribosomal RNA", at positions 35 to 154 of the family's 154-position model. The record is from RNAcentral.